GAUUGAACGCUGGCGGCAGGCUUAACACAUGCAAGUCGAGCGGAGAUGAGGUGCUUGCACCUUAUCUUAGCGGCGGACGGGUGAGUAAUGCUUAGGAAUCUGCCUAUUAGUGGGGGACAACAUUCCGAAAGGAAUGCUAAUACCGCAUACGCCCUACGGGGGAAAGCAGGGGAUCUUCGGACCUUGCGCUAAUGGAUGAGCCUAAGUCGGAUUAGCUAGUUGGUGGGGUAAAGGCCUACCAAGGCGACGAUCUGUAGCGGGUCUGAGAGGAUGAUCCGCCACACUGGGACUGAGACACGGCCCAGACUCCUACGGGAGGCAGCAGUGGGGAAUAUUGGACAAUGGGCGGAAGCCUGAUCCAGCCAUGCCGCGUGUGUGAAGAAGGCCUUUUGGUUGUAAAGCACUUUAAGCGAGGAGGAGGCUACCUGGAUUAAUACUCUAGGAUAGUGGACGUUACUCGCAGAAUAAGCACCGGCUAACUCUGUGCCAGCAGCCGCGGUAAUACAGAGGGUGCGAGCGUUAAUCGGAUUUACUGGGCGUAAAGCGUGCGUAGGCGGCUGAUUAAGUCGGAUGUGAAAUCCCUGAGCUUAACUUAGGAAUUGCAUUCGAUACUGGUCAGCUAGAGUAUGGGAGAGGAUGGUAGAAUUCCAGGUGUAGCGGUGAAAUGCGUAGAGAUCUGGAGGAAUACCGAUGGCGAAGGCAGCCAUCUGGCCUAAUACUGACGCUGAGGUACGAAAGCAUGGGGAGCAAACAGGAUUAGAUACCCUGGUAGUCCAUGCCGUAAACGAUGUCUACUAGCCGUUGGGGCCUUUGAGGCUUUAGUGGCGCAGCUAACG
RNAcentral lists this ribosomal RNA (836 nucleotides) under uncultured Pseudomonadota bacterium. RNAcentral's name for it is "bacterial SSU rRNA". It matches the Rfam family "Bacterial small subunit ribosomal RNA", at positions 27 to 857 of the family's 1533-position model. The record is from RNAcentral. Lineage: Bacteria; Pseudomonadati; Pseudomonadota.